RNAcentral lists this transfer RNA (69 nucleotides) under Bos taurus (domestic cattle). It matches the Rfam family "tRNA". Rfam says of the family: Transfer RNA (tRNA) molecules are approximately 80 nucleotides in length. Their secondary structure includes four short double-helical elements and three loops (D, anti-codon, and T loops). The record is from Rfam by way of RNAcentral. RNAcentral also lists the same sequence under 3 other names. Lineage: Eukaryota; Metazoa; Chordata; Mammalia; Artiodactyla; Bovidae.
CCUGGUAGCUCAGUUGGUAAAGAAUCUGCCUGCAAUGCAGGAGACCCUGGUUCAAUCCCUGGGUCAGGA